CAGUAGCCGCGGGAAUACGAAGGGGGCUAGCGUUGUUCGGAAUCACUGGGCGUAAAGCGCACGUAGGCGGACUUUUAAGUCAGGGGUGAAAUCCCAAGGCUCAACCUUGGAACUGCCUUUGAUACUGGAAGUCUUGAGUUCGGGAGAGGUGAGUGGAACUGCGAGUGUAGAGGUGAAAUUCGUAGAUAUUCGCAAGAACACCAGUGGCGAAGGCGGCUCACUGGCCCGAUACUGACGCUGAGGUGCGAAAGCGUGGGGAGCAAACAGGAUUAGAUACCCCAGUAGUCCCUGUCCUUAUACC
Molecule: ribosomal RNA, 301 nt
Filed under: uncultured bacterium
Lineage: Bacteria
Description: partial 16S ribosomal RNA
Rfam family: Bacterial small subunit ribosomal RNA
Source: RNAcentral